GGAUGCCCCCUUCAAAUGGAAUUUCAGAUAAAAGAGAAUUUUUUUUUAGUUUAAGUAUAUCCUAUGAAAUAUUUGGGAUAUACUUAUACUAAAAAACUGCUUUUUUAUUUAAAAUUCAAUUUUAAUGGGGCAU
RNAcentral lists this microRNA precursor (133 nucleotides) under Vicugna pacos (alpaca). Its description in RNAcentral is "miRNA (ENSVPAG00000017888.1)". The stretch from base 43 to 94 matches the Rfam family "mir-1302 microRNA precursor family". The record is from RNAcentral. Lineage: Eukaryota; Metazoa; Chordata; Mammalia; Artiodactyla; Camelidae.